This 253-nucleotide ribosomal RNA is filed under the name uncultured bacterium. Its description in RNAcentral is "partial 16S ribosomal RNA". It matches the Rfam family "Bacterial small subunit ribosomal RNA", at positions 524 to 776 of the family's 1533-position model. The record is from RNAcentral.
UACGUAGGGUGCAAGCGUUAAUCGGAAUUACUGGGCGUAAAGCGUGCGUAGGCGGUUCGUUAAGUUCGUUGUGAAAGCCCCGGGCUCAACCUGGGAAUGGCAAUGGAAACUGGCGGGCUUGAGUAUGGCAGAGGGGGGUGGAAUUCCGCGUGUAGCAGUGAAAUGCGUAGAGAUGCGGAGGAACACCGAUGGCGAAGGCAGCCCCCUGGGCCAAUACUGACGCUCAGGCACGAAAGCGUGGGGAGCAAACAGG